UGCCAGCCGCCGCGGUAAUACGGAGGGUGCGAGCGUUAAUCGGAAUCACUGGGCGUAAAGCGUACGUAGGUGGUAAAGUCAGUCAGGGGUGAAAUCCUACAGCUUAACUGUAGAACUGCCUUUGAUACUGCAAAUCUUGAGUUCGGAAGGGAGAGGCGGAAUUCCAGGUGUAGUGGUGAAAUACGUAGAUAUCUGGAAGAACACCAGAGGCGAAGGCGGUCUCUUGGUCCGAAACUGACGCUGAGGCGCGAAAGCGUGGGGAGCAAACAGGAUUAGAUA
This 279-nucleotide ribosomal RNA is filed under the name uncultured bacterium. RNAcentral describes it as "partial 16S ribosomal RNA". It matches the Rfam family "Bacterial small subunit ribosomal RNA", at positions 506 to 784 of the family's 1533-position model. The record is from RNAcentral.